This 72-nucleotide transfer RNA is filed under the name Bos taurus (domestic cattle). It matches the Rfam family "tRNA". Rfam says of the family: Transfer RNA (tRNA) molecules are approximately 80 nucleotides in length. RNAcentral also lists the same sequence under 4 other names. Lineage: Eukaryota; Metazoa; Chordata; Mammalia; Artiodactyla; Bovidae. The record is from Rfam by way of RNAcentral.
UCCCUAGUGGCUUAGAGUGUAAAGAAUCUGCCUGCUAUGCAGGAGACCUAAGUUCAAUUCCUUGGUUGGGAA